GGUGGAGAUACUUCAAAUGUGUGCAAGAUGCUUGAUGAAUGUGAAGGAAAACAACCCCUACUGUUUUGCUCUCACCAAAGCCCAAACUUGGAUGAUGAAGUGGUGUAAAAAUGGUGGAGAAAGGGUUUUUUGAGAAGAGGGGUGAAGGGAAAAGUGGAGAGAAUGCUUUGAAGAGUGCUUGAGAGUGAAAAGAGUGAGUGAGGGUCGAAUGAGGAGGCUUGGGCGAGACCUAGAGUAAGCAAAGUGUGGAAUGGGCCAACUCACGCUCAACGUCAGUUACCGCUGAGUGGUGUCGCGAUUUCAAAUCUCCCAUUUAUGGCUUGCCCUAAGCAUCGUUGACCUUGUGCCACUGAAAUUAAACUCUCAAACUUCAAAUUUCAUGCAAUUUCCACUCACUCCACUAAAAAAUUUUAACAAUCAAACCCUAAAAUGCAACUAGAACAAAAUCA
RNAcentral lists this long non-coding RNA (449 nucleotides) under Vigna radiata. RNAcentral describes it as "long non-coding RNA (VRAD_LNC011851)". The record is from RNAcentral. Lineage: Eukaryota; Viridiplantae; Streptophyta; Magnoliopsida; Fabales; Fabaceae.